AAUGGAAUUUGCCUUGCUCAGUUUUAGAUUUACUUGGGAUCUGUCACCCUUUGUUCCUAUUUCUCCCUUUUAGAAUGGCAAUGUCUAGCCUAUGCCUACUCCAUCACUGUAUUUUGGAAGCACGUGACUUGUUUGGCUUCACAGAUUCACAGCUGCAGAGGGAUUUUGCCUCAGAUCAGUCAUAUCUCGUCUCACCCAUAUGUGAUUCAGAAGAUAUUUAAAUGAGACUGGGGACCCUAGACUUUAGAGUUGAUGCUGGAACAAGUUCAGGCUUUUGGGGCUGUUGGGAUGAAAUGAAUGUAUUUUGCAUGAGAGAAGAACAUGAAUUUGAGGGGUCAGGGGCUGAACACUAUGGACAGAAUUAUGUCCUCCCCAGAUUCGUGUGUAAAGACCUACCUCUAAUAUGAUGGUCUUUGGAGGUAGGGCCUUUGGAAGGUGUUUAGGUUUAGGUGAGGUCAUGAGGGUGAGACCCUCAUGAUAGGAUUAGUGCCCUUAGAAGAAGAGACACCAGAGAACUGCUUCCUCUGGCUCUCUUCCCACCAUGUGAGGACACAGGGAGGAGGCAGCAUCCAAAAGCCAGGAAGAGGAAUCUCACCGAGGACUGAAUCUGCCAGCAUCUUGGUCGUGGACUUCCCAGCCUUUAGAACUGUAUGGUAAAAUGAAGUACUCUCUGGGCAUGACUUCCUCAAGGUCUGGUUAGCCCUUUGUGUCCCUCAAGUUCCGUCUUCCUUUUGAUGUGCUCGCAGCAGCUCUGAGCCCGGGAGCGCCGGCCCUCCCCGCAUUCUGCCUCCCUGCGCCCGACCGGGCGGAAUGACAUGCCUUCAUCGACGCCCUCUGCACGCCCUUCCACCCUUGCCCUUGCUUGGGGACCUCGUGGGAAACGGCCUCCAAUCCCUGCAUCCAAGUUCAUUAAAAGCCGUUUUUCUCUUGCAUAA
This 935-nucleotide long non-coding RNA is filed under the name Equus caballus (horse). RNAcentral's name for it is "lncRNA (ENSECAG00000034271.3)". The record is from RNAcentral. Lineage: Eukaryota; Metazoa; Chordata; Mammalia; Perissodactyla; Equidae.